RNAcentral lists this ribosomal RNA (331 nucleotides) under uncultured bacterium. Its description in RNAcentral is "bacterial SSU rRNA". It matches the Rfam family "Bacterial small subunit ribosomal RNA", at positions 335 to 661 of the family's 1533-position model. The record is from RNAcentral.
ACUCCUACGGGAGGCAGCAGUAGGGAAUCUUCCGCAAUGGACGCAAGUCUGACGGAGCAACGCCGCGUGAGUGAAGAAGGGUUUCGGCUCGUAAAACUCUGUUGUUAAGGAAGAACACUUUAGGUAGUAACUGGCCUAGAGAUGACGGUACUUAACCAGAAAGCCACGGCUAACUACGUGCCAGCAGCCGCGGUAAUACGUAGGUGGCAAGCGUUAUCCGGAAUUAUUGGGCGUAAAGCGCGCGUAGGCGGUAGAAUAAGUCUGAUGUGAAAGCCCCCGGCUCAACCGGGAGGUCAUUGGAACUGUUUUACUUGAGUGUCAGAAGAGGAGA